GAGGACCCAGAGUGUGGGUCAGGAGCCCUGAAGAGGCAGGGGUCGUCGUCCUCAGGUCGCGCCCCGCAGCCCCUCUCCGCUCAGGCCAUCAAACACAUCUGGGUACGCACCGCCCUCUUCGAGAAGGUCCUGGACAAGAUCGUACAGUACAUUGUGGAAACUCCAGUAAGUACUAUGAGAGGAGUCUCUGAUGCAUGACGCAGUGUUUGGACCCAUCCUGGCAUGUCUACUGGUGGGUCCCUGUGCUCUGGAGUACACUAAGCUGAAGACGUCCGACCAACUUCUGG
Molecule: non-coding RNA, 287 nt
Organism: Salvelinus sp. IW2-2015
Lineage: Eukaryota; Metazoa; Chordata; Actinopteri; Salmoniformes; Salmonidae
Source: RefSeq, a predicted model, not a curated record